GACGCUGGCGGCAGGCUUAACACAUGCAAGUCGAGCGGUAACAGGGGUAGCUUGCUACCCGCUGACGAGCGGCGGACGGGUGAGUAAUGCUUAGGAAUCUGCCCAAUAGUGGGGGAUAGCCCGGGGAAACCCGGAUUAAUACCGCAUACGUCCUACGGGAGAAAGCAGGGGAUCUUCGGACCUUGCGCUAUUGGAUGAGCCUAAGUCGGAUUAGCUAGUUGGUGGGGUAAAGGCCUACCAAGGCGACGAUCCGUAGCUGGUCUGAGAGGAUGAUCAGCCACAUCGGGACUGAGACACGGCCCGAACUCCUACGGGAGGCAGCAGUGGGGAAUAUUGGACAAUGGGGGCAACCCUGAUCCAGCCAUGCCGCGUGUGUGAAGAAGGCUUUCGGGUUGUAAAGCACUUUCAGUAGGGAGGAAAACCUUAUGGCUAAUACCCAUGAGGCUUGACGUUACCUACAGAAGAAGCACCGGCUAACUCCGUGCCAGCAGCCCGCGGUAAUAC
RNAcentral lists this ribosomal RNA (504 nucleotides) under uncultured bacterium. Its description in RNAcentral is "bacterial SSU rRNA". It matches the Rfam family "Bacterial small subunit ribosomal RNA", at positions 33 to 526 of the family's 1533-position model. The record is from RNAcentral.